Molecule: long non-coding RNA, 2986 nt
Organism: Choloepus didactylus (southern two-toed sloth)
Lineage: Eukaryota; Metazoa; Chordata; Mammalia; Pilosa; Megalonychidae
Exons: 3
Source: RefSeq, a predicted model, not a curated record
CCUAAUAUCCAGAGCUAUACCCUGUUGGACCUUUGCUAACAAGCCUAGCAUAUAUAAGUUACUCUUAUAAAUCUAAUUCUCUAAUUUUUUUUUUACAGAAUGUUUUCCUUUGAAUAAUCAAAUCAAUUUUCUAAUGUGAAAAAAAAAAGUGAACAAAACCGGCCCUCCCUCUGAGGAGCCCAGUAACUGAAAAUGGGGAACAUAAAUCAUCACAAGAUGACAUAGAGAUCUACGGAAGCACAGAGAAGGCAUCAUCACAAGGAGUGAUUUAAGAGCCAACUCUUCAAGGAUAUGUGGGUAGGCAAGACCUGGAAGGGCACUGCAGGAAGAGGGGCAAAACAAGGACAUUAAGAUGUGCAAGUGGGAGCUCAGGAAAUGAAUCUGAAAACUUCUGGAUGACAGCAGACCUAAAAAGGAGAUACUGGAAGAAUGAACAAGGAAUUGGAAUAUCCACGGAAGCCUCUGAGGAGGGAACAUGAGGACUGGAGAACAUGAGCUCUCUGCAGUUCAAUUCCUAGGAGAUAGGAGCCGGUGAUGGGGCUGGAGUCACAUUCCGGAAGCUGCCCAAGAGACCAGGCCCUAAGACAAACCCCAGGUCUUCAGCUGGGCUGGCCCACAGCCCUGUUUCCCUGGCUGACCCGUGGACCUGGAGGGUUCAGUGGGCACGCGCCUGCUGCUGGCUGCCCCUGCUGCUGGCACUCCUGCUGGGCUGUCAAGCAGGUAUAGGGCCUCCACUCAGAGUUUUCCAGUCAAAGGGCUGGCUCUCAUGGCUACAGCAACCAGAGGGGCAAAGGAGCCUAAGAAUUUAGCAAAGGUGGAAGUGCCUCCAGCCUUAAAUUCUCCAGACCUCACCAUUCCCUUUCAAAAGCCUUUUUGGUGUUUUGCUUUCUGCUGCUAACGUAACCUAAAAAGAUAAAAAGAGUAAAAGGGAUAGAGAUGAGUGGGGAGAACGAGUCUUCAGGCUCCCCUUUUCCUGCCCCCCACCCCCAUGCCGCAUGCCCCCACUCAGCAGAGCUGGGCUGCAGCAUCUCUGGCAGGUUUUCUCCUCUAAUGCUGGUUCCUGAGUUUUUCUCUCAUGACAUCUGAUGGCCUCUACCUAGUCCUCUUCCGCCUCGACUGUAACCUUGGAUUUGUGCCGGCCCAUCACUUCAGUGCCUCUCACUUCCUGUCACCCCUUCUCUGAUUCCCCCUCCUUUAGUUUUCACACUGAUUACACUGCCACACAGCCAAGAAACAGUUGCCAUUGUUGGGGUCCAUGUCCCAAUCUGGAGCUGUUAGCUACCCCACAACUGGGAUUGCUCAAGGUAGGUUUCCUGACCCUCAAUUCCCAUUCCUGUACCCUAACUCUUUCCAGGAUCCACAAAGUCAGUCUUCUCCUAGUAAAUAAUAAAUAUUAGCUUCUUUCCUCUUCCUGGAUCUUGAGAUCAAAGUUAAAAUAGCCUUAAAUUACUCUUAGGUCUUUAAGAGGUCUCUGUGGACAGGGUGGGAGGAGGACACAUUGGUCCUCUGAGGCCCCAAGGCUUUCUCUGCUGGAGGGAGCCCUUCUGAACACAGCUCUGCACACUGCCCAGGAUCAGUCCAGGUGCCCUGGCUGUGCUGGAGCCUUGACCGACUGACCUCAGAUCACUGGCCCCAAGUGCACAACAUGGCAACAAGCAGCCUCUCCUGCCACCCCAACUGCACACAAGCCCAAGGUGGGGGGAUGUUGUCCCCCAGCAGGCAAUGGGAAGGUUGGGCAAGAGGAUGACCAAGAAGCAAGGCCGAGUCUGACAAGGAGCAGAUGGAUAUGUGCACUUGGUAGAAGAGACACUAACAGACUCCAGGAGAUGAAAAGAUACAGAGCAUGAAAAAAACAGCUUCAGAGAAAGAAAAAGCACAGACUGAAAAGCAAUAAAAGUGCAAUAAAUACUAAAACCAGAAAGUAGAGAGAGGAAGACUAACAUUACUAGAGUUAGGUCAGAGAAGAGUACAGGAGGGGCUAGGACGGUCAGUAUUCAAGGGGCUGUAGGCACAAUAUAAAUCUCUCAGAAGGGUCAUUGACUUUCCAAGCUGUUGGGCUUACUGGCUGCAGCAAGCAGAAUCUAUUUUAAAAACACCAGGCACUUUGCCUAGAUCUGCUUCCCUGCCCAGAAAAGGCAGGAGCCAAAGGCUGAGAAGCCAUUCCAGUAUUAGGACCCUGCUGGGGCCACAGGUCUAAGACCAUGAAGAUCCUUGCCUGGUCUUGGAAUGACCACUACCUACACAACCUGCCAGGCCACUAAUCUCACAGCAAAUUGAACACAGCCCUGAGGGCUGCUUGUGUUAUCCCCUUCCACUGGGAAAGACUCAAUGACUUCCUUCAUUCUGUCUUCUAGCUUGUCAGAAAGCAGAUGCUGCUCAAUUGUGACAGCUGUUCUAAGGCGAUGCUCAAAGGGAGAUCCCUGACCAGUGGGAAUAUCCUUAAGGAUGACUGGAGAGGCCUUGGGUGAUUACAAGCAAGACAAAGGAGAGAGCAUGAAAGGGAAUCAAUGAUAAAAAUGGCCUUAGGGAAACCAUAAGGGACUUGAAUUGGAAAACACCAAGGGCCUCACUCCUUUUCCUGGGCUGUGGGUCUUUGGAAAACUCUAACCUGGAGAAGUCCGGACUUUAUCCACCGGACACAGAGAAGUACAUAAUAAGGCUGGGAGCCAGGGGAAGCAGCCAAGGAAAGACAUCAAUGCAGAUUUUAUUUCCUCUUCCUACUGAGAGGGUUGGGGAUGAGAGGUCCUUCCUUCUCUGGCUUCUGAGCCCUUAAAUUGUAUAAAAUACUGUUCAACAAGGCUGAAUAUGAGUCCUCUAUUUUGCAUGAGAUUUAUAUUCUCAAAAAACAUAGUAUAAAAAUCAAACGAAAUUUUGCUUGUCAGAGUAGUUGGCUUUUCAAAAUAAAUUGGAGGUGAAUCCUAUGUUUAAAGAGAAGGAUAGCUUUUGAAUGUGACUAAUCAUCCUGGUUCAUGCUUGUAAAUUUGGA